Molecule: long non-coding RNA, 738 nt
Filed under: Gossypium barbadense (sea-island cotton)
Lineage: Eukaryota; Viridiplantae; Streptophyta; Magnoliopsida; Malvales; Malvaceae
Description: long non-coding RNA (GBAR_LNC018306)
Source: RNAcentral
AAAAAACUAAACGUUUCUCCCCCUCCCCAAAGUCAUGCCGCUCAGCAAAGGUUGCUCAGAGGCCUUUGAACCGUCGUCCAGCUCCGAUUGCGAUGGAGCCAACGAGGAUCCGACCACACAGGUAAAUCCCCUCGCUUCUAACCUUAUUUCCUCUUUUUAUUACCUUAUUGCUAAUAAAUAACAGAGCCACGAAAAAAAGAACAAAGAAAUGCAAAAAAUAAAUGAAAUAACCUUCCAAAACUCAAAGAAAACUCUGUUUUUCGAUUCUUUUCUAUUGAUAUUGUUUAUAUUGAUAUUUCCCCUUUACAACACUCGAAUGGCCCUCUUUUUAUGGCCAGCUUUUACAAAGAAAAUAAAAAAAAGGAAAAUCAUCCGAAAAAAUCCUCUCUGCUGCCUUUUUUCGUGCGUAUUUCUGCUGUUGUUUUUGUUUGUUUGUGUCUGCUGUAGGUACGGUCGUACGGAGGAGCGUGGCAUGGAGGCACGCGUGUGAGAGGCGAAGGUGCACGAGUACGGAGGCUCGUCACGCGCGAAGGCUUGGCUGCGGCGCUGAAGGGUUCUAGAAACCCUAAGGGUUUCUGGGAUACUCUUUCAAAAUGGGCUAAUUGGGCUGUAUGUAUUUGGGUUUGGGCUUGUGUCAGAUUAGGUUUGGGCUAGCUGAAUGUAAUUUGGACUGCUAUUUUAUUGGACCCUUUUUUUUGGUUUAAUUUUAAUUUGGUUUUAUUUUAUUGACGGGCUGGG